Molecule: ribosomal RNA, 478 nt
Filed under: uncultured organism
Description: partial 16S ribosomal RNA
Rfam family: Bacterial small subunit ribosomal RNA
Source: RNAcentral
CGUACACUCCUACGGGAGGCAGCAGUGGGGAAUAUUGCACAAUGGGCGCAAGCCUGAUGCAGCCAUGCCGCGUGUAUGAAGAAGGCCUUCGGGUUGUAAAGUACUUUCAGCGGGGAGGAAGGCGAUAAGGUUAAUAACCUUGUCGAUUGACGUUACCCGCAGAAGAAGCACCGGCUAACUCCGUGCCAGCAGCCGCGGUAAUACGGAGGGUGCAAGCGUUAAUCGGAAUUACUGGGCGUAAAGCGCACGCAGGCGGUCUGUCAAGUCGGAUGUGAAAUCCCCGGGCUCAACCUGGGAACUGCAUUCGAAACUGGCAGGCUAGAGUCUUGUAGAGGGGGGUAGAAUUCCAGGUGUAGUGGUGAAAUGCGUAGAGAUCUGGAGGAAUACCGGUGGCGAAGGCGGCCCCCUGGACAAAGACUGACGCUCAGGUGCGAAAGCGUGGGGAGCAAACAGGAUUAGAAACCCUGGUAGUCCCAUG